This 103-nucleotide ribosomal RNA is filed under the name Methylophaga sp. 42_25_T18. RNAcentral describes it as "partial 23S ribosomal RNA". The stretch from base 1 to 91 matches the Rfam family "Bacterial large subunit ribosomal RNA", at positions 2835 to 2925 of the family's 2925-position model. The record is from RNAcentral. Lineage: Bacteria; Pseudomonadati; Pseudomonadota; Gammaproteobacteria; Thiotrichales; Piscirickettsiaceae.
CCGUUGAAGACUACAACGUUGAUAGGUUGGGUGUGGAAGUGUGGUAACACAUGAAGCUAACCAAUACUAAUUGCCCGUGAGGCUUGACCAUAUAACCCCAAGG